UCUUGCCUUUUGCUGGUAAGGAUUGAUUCAUUGAGCGCCUGACAAUUGGAAUUUGUGGAUUCUCCUCUCUUUCCUCACACCUAAGGCUUGACAUCCUUCAUGCUUGAACUCCGAAUUAGCAGUAAAAUUUUUAUGGUUCAGUCACUUCCAACAAUCUUUUCACCUAACACUUGAAGCGUAACAGAGAGUUGAAGUCAAAAGAGGGGUUCCGGGGAUUCUUACAGGGCGUUGUUCUGCUUUGUGACGUGUGAUAAUGGAGAUUGGGCUUGCCGAAUUGUUGAUAGUGGCAUGGAUCGCUGGGACCUUGCCUAUACUCAUCGCCUCCAUACCCUUUUCGCAGCUUAAUUAUUUCCAUCAAUUUUUGUUAGGGUUUGCCAAAAGAGGCAAGACAAUGCAAUCAUCUGCACAUAAAUUCACUUUACCCCAGAAAUUCUUCUGCCACUUCUAUGCUUUGGCUGUGGUGUGGACAACAUUCUUGCUUGCAGUCACUUGGUUUUAUGCGUAUAAAAUGGCCCCACUAAUCUCCAAGCCAUUGCAAUAUUCUACUCUGACAAGCUACUUGGCUGGGAGUUCACAUAUAUUAUUCUUUCAUGAAUCUAGUCCGCCUGCAGUGAAGCAGAGAUACAGGGUGUGGAGCUCUGUGUUUCUUCUUUCGUUAAUGGAAUUUCAAGUGUUGAGACGCCUUACUGAGUCGAUAUAUGUGUUUAAGUACAACCCUUCAGCUCAGAUGCAUAUUUUUGGCUACAUUACUGGGCUAUUUUUCUAUAUAGCUGCGCCACUUUCCCUUUGCUGUGCAUUUUUACCAGAGGCCUUUGUACUUGCCAUGAAUCAGAUGGCUGACUUUCUUAUUAAAGGGAAGACUCAGAUUCCAGUCACAGAAUUUGAUUGGUGGGGAUUUGUGAACCCUCUCCUGAAACUUAAAUGGUACUCAUGGAGUGGGAUGGCUAUAUUUUUUUGGGGUUGGAUACAUCAAUGGAAUUGUCAUGCAAUUCUUGGCUCAUUGAGGGAUGACCCAGAACAAGUGGAUGCUUAUGUAAUUCCUCAUGGUGAUUGGUUUGACUAUGUUUCAUCUCCACACUACCUGGCUGAGAUUGUUAUUUAUGCUGGUCUUGUAGUUGCCAAUGGUGGUUCAGACUUGACAAUCUGGCUACUCUUUCUCUUUGUGGUGGCAAAUCUUGUUUUUGCAGCAGCAGAGACACAGAGGUGGUAUCUACAUAAAUUUGACAAUUACCCUCGAGACCGAUCAUGUUGCGAGUGUUUGAGGUAUGGGAGCUGCAUAUGGGACGGUGAACAGCGGCAUUGGGGUGGCGUCGAUGGGCGUGAUGAGGCCAGAGCUUGUGAUGAAGUCGAUUGUUCCAAUGGUUAUGGCUGGUGUUUUGGGUAUUUAUGGCUUGAUUAUUGCUGUUAUCAUCAGUACCGGGAUUAACCCUAAAGCCAAUUUGUAUUACCUAUUUGAUGGCUAUGCGCAUCUUUCCUCUGGUCUCACCUGUGGCCUCGCUGGGCUUUCUGCUGGAAUGGCAAUUGGGAUGUUGGCAAUGCCGGUGUUAGGACAAUAGGAGCACCAGAGGCUAUGGAUAGUGGACGUGUUCAUCAUGCUAGGAAAAUGUGUCCAAGUUAACAUAUGUGGUUCAGUGGGAAAUUUGAAAAAUUAUAUAUUGGGCAGAUUAUUGUGCAUUUUUUAGUUUCUGCAUCCUAUGAUUUGUCAUGCUUAGUUGAUUUUGAGUAUUGAUGGCCUGUGUUUGCAUAUGCAAUACAAAUAAUUUCAUGGUAGCUUAAUGGGAUUCUUAUAUUAUAUGGGGAUAUGCUAUAAAGUCAAAGAAGUUGUUCCAUAUUGUAUUUGAGAUGGUUUCACCAAUUUACAGCAAAUUUCCAAAAGAAUAUCAAAGAUUGUCCGAAAAAGGAUAUAUGUUGGCUAGAUUUAACAUUAUUCUGCAACAAUUCUUUACAUCAUGAGAUGUUGCAUGAACCAUGAAAUGGUGUCUUGGUCUAUUGUUAAUAAAGCAUUGUUGUUUGUGCAAUUUUGUUCCAUACUUGAAAUGGUUGAGGAAGUAGAGUUUGUGGUUCUACAGUGGUGCUCACUUAAUAGAGAUUAUAUGAACUAUUUAGAUAGAUUCUGUGGCAAGAAGCUUUGCAUGGGUGGUGUUUAGACCAUUCCACAGAGAAAUUCCUAAACUUAGGGGGGAAAGUGAAGAAAUUUAUAUGUUGUUCUUCAUUGGAAAUACUUGGAAACAUAAUUGCUUUACAAGCCAUUAGUCAAUCUUCUUUCAAUAAUAUAUUGACCAGGUUUGUGGCUUAGUCAAACUUGAUCACUAUGUGGAUGCAUAUAAAGUUCUUCAAUAUAAUGGGAGGGGCUACUUUGUUAAUUUAUAGACCCAUUUGUGUUGGUAUUUGUGGCUUGUAUAACAACAUUAAUACAAGCCUUAAUUCCAUUAAGUGGGACUACAUGAAUUUGAGCUCUCCAAUCAUUUUUAUCUAUGACCAUAUGUUUUGUAAGGCCAGUAGAUCCCAUGUCAUCUCUAAAUUUGUGGUCUCUAUACACUAAUAAAAGUCAAUAUAUGUGGAACCCUAGUCAGACAUUAUAGCAAAUAUGUAAGCUACACAAAAGACUAGUUGGACAGUGAUAAUAGAAGGCUAGGGGCUAGUCAGGCUGUUGGCUGCCUGUCCAAGGAUGGCAUUCACUUUUUUUCUUAUUUCUCUCUCUCUCUCUUGCCUAAACACACACACCAAAAAAGAAAAAGGUUUAGGGAAAAUUGUGUUCUCUCUCUCUCUCUCUCUCACACACACACAUGUAAUGGGUAAGCUAACCUUUAUCUUUAACAUUAUUUCUAUUUACUUGCCCAAACACACACACACAAACACAAAAAAGGUUUGGGGAAAAUUGCGUUGUGUCUUUUAGGAGGUGGGUGUCUCCUUGGAAUACAUUAAAUUUUCUUGAUGUCAUUUUGGUGUGAUCUGGUGGUUCUUAUUUCCACAUUUUUUUGGAUUGUAGAACUUGAUAAUGUGUCAAAGAAACUAGACUGCUUAAAAAUUAGUUUGUAGAACCUGUAUUCACAAGCCAAUAUGAGCUUGAUUUCCUUCAUCAUCAGAAUGUAUAAACUUUGAAGCCUCGUUCAGUUUUAGAAAACUUCUUUUAGUUUUCAACUCCAAAUUUACAACUAAACAUAUCCUAACAUUUUAUGCUUUAAAAAGUCAUCCAUUCAUUUACAGAAAGUUUUGAAAAUGUCUUUUCUUAUGUUUUCCAAUUUAUAGUAUAAAGUUAAAAAAUUAGAAAAUUGAGUUUUCUAUUGUCUAAUUAGAGAUUCAAUCAUUCAAUAGAAAAUUAGAGUUAGAAAACAGAAAAAAUUUUCUACAACUGAACAGGCCCUGAGCUUCUUCAUAUUAUAAGAGCUUGAUAUGGCUGGUAUUGGAGGAGCUCUUGCCAUGACCCAAAGUAGCAUUACUUCGUGGUUGAUAUGUUUACAACACUUCUGAGACAAUGUUUAUUGUACGAGCAGACAACUUCAAUCCCUGCAGCAUUAGCUGCAGUUGUUGCUAUGCAAAAACUCACUUUUCUAAUAUUGUUUUAUCUUAAGAGUAGAACAGAAAAGUGCCACUUUUAUUUGAUUAAUUUUCGUGCUGGAUUAUGUUGAGACCCCAACCUUUUGCUUGCUACCAAAUGUAGUACUUUUCUUUUAUGGUGGCAAGGAUUAAGCCAAUAUAAGUGAAUAGAUAGAAAAAGGCCCUUGUGCAUGAAGCAAUCUAAUCCAAUGGAUACUGUCAGGACCUCAUGUCCUGACAGCGGAAUUUCUCCUUGCGAGAGAAGAUUUAGGGUUGAAGAAAGGUAGGAAGGAGGAAAGAAGGUUAGGGAGAACAGAGGAUUCGGGGGGGAAGAGAAGUUGAAAGAGAGAGAGAGAGAGUGUGUGUGUGUGUCUGAUUCUAUUAUGGAAUUCAUUCGUGUUUUCACAUUCAAUUGGGAGGCUUUUAUAGUUCCUCCUUAGCGCUAAUCUUGGGCUGUUACAAUUCUAACAGAAGCUAACAACUAACAGCUAUUUUAACCGCCUACCAACAGCCUCUAACCACUAACUGCUACCAGUCCUACACAUCGAAAGACCAAAUUACCCUUGAUUUAUCAUAGGGUCCUGACAAUUACCCCCAGUUGAGAACUUUCUUGUCCUCAAGAAAGGGAAAGAAGCUUGGCCGCCUGCGGAAACUGCUGUAGUAGAUCAGGGAGAUAUUCCCACAUGUUGUCGGGAUGGAGAAGGGUCCAUUGAACCAGCACCUGCGUAAGAGGAGCCCCUUGCUUAUAGAUCACCCGCUUAUCCAAUAUCAAGGCCAGUUCAGCUGGAGGAGGAGCUUCUGAAAUAAGAUCCGACAGAGUACCAGCUGCGCGCCCACCGACUUUUUGAGCAAAGAGACGUGGAACACUGGGUGGAUGUGGGACGAGGCCAGGAGCUGCAGCUUAUAAACAACAAUCCCAAACUUUGCCAUGAUGGGAAAAGGCCCAAAAACUUAGGGCUGAGCUUGGAUACUUGACUGUGAGUAAGAGCUUGUUGAUAGGAGUGUCUUAGCUUCAAGUAAACCAUAUCCCCUAUUGAAAACUCCCGUUCACUACGCCUGCGGUCAGCAAAUUGCUUCAUCUUAUGCUGGGCUGUAGCCAACUCCCUUUGCAGCACCUGCAACACUUCCUGUUGCUGCUGUAAGUAAUCAUCAACAGAAGCCAUCGAGGAAGACGGUAGUGUGGCUGGAAGGUGGGGAGGCUUAUAGCCAUAUAGGGCCUGAAAAGGAGACAUCCGAAUAGAACUAUGGUAGCACAAAUUGUACCACCAUUGUCCAAGGGAAAGCCACUUGUGCUAGGCCUCGGGCUGAGCAACACAAAGACAAUGCAAAUAGGCCUCCAGACACUGGUUAACCGGCUCCAUCUGGCCGUCUGUUUCUAGAUGGUAAGCUGUGGACAUGUGCAAACGAACUCCCAAUGACUUGAAUAGGUCCUGCCACGUAAGGCUAGUGAAAACUUUAUCCUCUCCGAUGCUAUGGUUCGCGGCACACCAUGCAAGCUGAUUACCUGGUCCAAAAAACUGUUGCCACUUCCUGUGCCGUGAACGGAUGAGAAAGACCUAUAAAGUGAGCAAAUUUAGUGAACUGAUCGACCACCACCACCAAUACACAAUCUAUACCCUUCGAUUUUGGCAACCCCUCUACAAAAUCCAUGGAAAGACAAACCCAGGCUUGAUCCGGUUUUUCUAAAGGCUGCAACAACCCUAGUGUCGCCACAGACUUGUGUUUACAAUGCUGGCACACAUCACACGACAUUACAUACUCUUGUACACUCCUUGUAAGAUCGGGCCAGUAGAAUAGCUGUUUGACUUUGUGGUAUGUAUUCCUUAUACCUGAAUGGCCCCCUACCGGUGACCCAUGUAAGGCUUGCAAAAUUUUGGAUUUAAGUUGUCUGCAAUCCCCAAAAACCAAUCUGCCACAAAAUCUAAUUAGCCUGUUAGACAUAGAAUACCUCGGUUUACUAGCAAGGUCGAUGUAGCUGUUCUUGCAACUUCUUAGUCCAUUCCGCCAAGGAAUAACUUGCUGUUACCACCUGCAUCUAGUCCGACACUACUAUUGUAAUGGCUGCAAUGAUUCCUUCCUCCAAACAUUGGGGCAACACAUUUGAUGUUGCAUUGUCUUUCCCCCUUCUACAGGGGAGGAUCUACUAGUGAGCUACCUUGGGCUGAAGCCCAGCACAACCCACUACCAGAUCCAAUUUUUUAGUGUAAAAAAAAAAAUAUAAUAAUAAUAACAACCCAGUUCAAAAAAAAUUACGACCCACCCCAAAAUCUAUGAUGUGCAGCUCUCCACUCCUGGGCAUAACCCAUUUAUAAGUAAAAAUUGUAAGUUCAAGACCAAACCCACCUAAAUCCUAUAAUUAAUUUCAAACAAGCCCAAAUAAUAGCUUCCUCCCUUAGAAUCGUUGCCCUUUUCUUUCUAUAGGAGGACGACCAAGUUCCCACCAUUGUCCCCUUGAUUGGAGUCCCUGGCGACAUCUUUGGAACCCAAUUGCCCAAACCUAUUCAGAAUCUGUACAAAUAUAGAGGAAGAGAAAGAGGCAGAGUAGUAGGUAAGUUUCAGAGUAAUACAAGGAGAUUAUGAAUUUAAUGUUUUUGGAGUUGGAAGAUAUGGAUGAGUUCAAGGGUUGAUCCAGGAAUCUAUGUUGGGAGAGGCUGAAAUUUCAAAAAGCUAAUGUAAUAAAAUUCUUAUGUAACCAAAAAGUUAAUACAAUAAAAUUUCACUAAACUUGUGCUCGAUGAGAUUUUGAAACAAAAAAUUCAUCUACAAUGGAAACUAAAUCUAUUGUGAGAGCAAGUUCUCUUUCGAUGCAGAGUGUCAUACAAUCAACAAGGAAUUCACCCUCCAUUUUGUUACGAAGUGUCUUCAAAAGUUUCAUUGCUGAAAAUGCCCACUCAGUAGUUGCAGUAGAAACAUGUAAUGUCAAUACAAGAUGAAUCAAUCUAGUUAUCAUAAUGUAUGUAUCUGACCUUCUACCCUCGAUCAACUCCUUGGCACAAUUCAACAAGUGUAGAUAUUUGAACCGUUGUUCAGGAAUCACAUCAUGAACAUAAUACCGCAACUCAUAUUCCAAAGCACGAAUAUCUUAACUGCUAAAAUCUUCAUGAUAUAACUUCUUUGCAAGCGUACAAAUAUCAUCAUUAUUGAAUGAUUCGAAUGAAUUUUUGGGAUCCAAAGCCACAUUGAGAGAAAAGAGUUCUACUGAUUUAUCAUUAAAUCGCGUACUUAACUCCAUCAGUAUAAAAUCUAUUGCUUCAUUGAAAACAUCGAAGUGAUAAUGGUACUCAACUGUAGUCUCAUCACUACAACAACCAAUUAGAUACGGAGAAUCUAGGUCCGAUAUGUGAAUGUUGUGUGUUGAACAAAACCUUUUUACUUCCUAAAAAGGCUCUUCCCAACCUUUUACUCUCAAUUCUUGAAGGAUAAGUUUCACAACAGAAACAUAUCUCAUAGUAGCCAAAUUGUUUAGGGAUUUUUUUCUGAAGGGCUUAACAAAGAACAUAAGUUAUUCUCAUAAUUCUAUGCAUUAAAAACAAGUUGUGCACAAAUUCAAAACAUGCAAAGUGUUUGUAAGUGCCACAAACUUCAGCUCGAGAAUGUGCUUUUGGACAAUGGACUUUUAAGAUAUUCAAGCACCUUGCAAGUUGCAGGUUGUAGGGUACAUGUCUAUCAUUCUUUUUACAGAAUCAUAAUGAGAACUCCAACGUGUUACUCCAGUGCGAUGCAAAUUACCUAUUUGAUUGAUUCAACUUUCAGACUCACACUCUCUAAUACUUAACAUAUGCUCAACUUCUUUUCUUUAGCACUUUGCAAUUCACUAAUGCGUUGAGAAGAAGAAUUAAUAAUAUUGAUAAUAUUGUUCAAAUGGGAAAAGAAUUCCCAAAUAACGUGACAUCCUUAGCUGUAGAAACCAAUGCCAGUUGUAACCAGUGAGCAAAGUAGUGAACAUAGUAUGCAUGUGGAUAAUCUCUAAGAAAUAAUGCUUGAAGUCCAUUCCAAGUACCGUGUAUAUUAUUAGCACCAUCAUAUCCUUGACCUCUCAUUUUGCUAACCUAAAGGUUGUGUUGAACAAGAACAUCGGAUAUCUCAUUUUUUAGGUUCAAUGACGUGGUGUUACUAAUGCUUUUGAUUGCAAAAAAACAUUCUAUCAAAAUACCAUGAUUGUUCACAAACUUCAAAAUAAUGGCCAAUUGCUCUCAGUUAGAUUCAUCUUUUGCUUCAUCUACAAGAAUACAUAAGUGUUCAUCUCUAACAUCUUCACGAACCAUUUGUCAUACUCUGUUGGCCAUAAUGUGAAAAAUAUCAUUUGAAAUAUUUGGAGCAAUGGAUUGAGCAUUUUUUGGAGCAUUACCUAGUACAACUUUAUCAACUUUUAUACUCAAUUGUGCAAAAGCCUUUAGCAUUUGAAUAAAAUUGCCACGGUUCAAUGAAGAUGAAGAUUCAUCGUGACCUCUGAAGGCACAACCUUGAAGUGCUAGCAACCAGAUAGCUAUAAUUGAAGUCUUUAGGGGAAAAUGAUUUUUUUGAGAUUCCUCUUUUGUUUGUGCAUGAAUUACCCUAUCAAUAUGUUGAGAGAGAUUUAUUAAAUCUUCAACCAUUCUCACACAAUUCAAGUGGGGUGACGAAGG
This is an RNA transcript of Diospyros lotus (date-plum), 8162 nucleotides long. It is a transcript of the gene named polyprenol reductase 2-like, with no coding region annotated. The record is from RefSeq and is a predicted model, not a curated record. The transcript has 8 exons. Lineage: Eukaryota; Viridiplantae; Streptophyta; Magnoliopsida; Ericales; Ebenaceae.